Telopea speciosissima is the source of this 343-nucleotide long non-coding RNA. RefSeq lists it as uncharacterized. The transcript has 3 exons. The record is from RefSeq and is a predicted model, not a curated record. Lineage: Eukaryota; Viridiplantae; Streptophyta; Magnoliopsida; Proteales; Proteaceae.
GCCAAAUUAUCCUUUCAGGAACCUAUCUGAGAUAUAAUAAACCCUAAAGUCCAAUAUUUUCUAACUGAAAUGGCCCGCUUCCCAAAUAAAAAGAAGAAGGUGUUCAAUAAGCCGGUUGUGAAGAAGCCCAGUGUUGAUCAUGUCACGGGAGAUAAAAUACCCAAGAGCUUUGUGUUUUCAAGAGGAAAGCUGCCGAGUUCUCUGAGAAAGCUGCAAAUGGACUUAAGAAAGUUGAUGCUCCCCCAUACUGUACUUAAGCUAAAGGAAAAGAAACAGAAUAAUCUUGAGGAUUUUUUGAACGUUGCUGGGCCAAUGGGUGUUACUCAUUUCCUUAUAUUAUCAA